GGGGAAUUUUGGACAAUGGGCGCAAGCCUGAUCCAGCAAUGCCGCGUGAGUGAAGAAGGCCUUCGGGUUGUAAAGCCCUUUUGUCAGGGAAGAAACGGCUGAGGCUAAUAUCCUCGGCUAAUGACGGUACCUGAAGAAUAAGCACCGGCUAACUACGUGCCAGCAGCCGCGGUAAUACGUAGGGUGCAAGCGUUAAUCGGAAUUACUGGGCGUAAAGCGGGCGCAGGCGGUUUUGUAAGCCAGAUGUGAAAUCCCCGGGCUUAACCUGGGAAUGGCAUUUGGGACUGCAAGGCUUGAGUUUGGCAGAGGAGACUGGAAUUCCUGGUGUAGCAGUGAAAUGCGUAGAUAUCAGGAGGAAUACCGAUGGCGAAGGCAGGUCUCUGGGCUAGAACUGACGCUCAUGCACGAAAGCGUGGGGAGCAAAC
This 425-nucleotide ribosomal RNA is filed under the name uncultured bacterium. Its description in RNAcentral is "bacterial SSU rRNA". It matches the Rfam family "Bacterial small subunit ribosomal RNA", at positions 356 to 773 of the family's 1533-position model. The record is from RNAcentral.